UGGAUAUUUGUGUAAUGAUACUGAUUUGUUUUUUUUUCUGUUGGUAGAAAUGAGAGUGAAAUGAAUGAAGAAAAGACAGAUGAAAAGCAUAAAUAUUUUCAACAAUGAGAAUUGAAAAAUUAAAGCUAUCUUCUCUUCUUUAGGACUCAAUUAACCAGAGCCCUUCUCCUCCAAACAUGUCACUUAAUGAGACUGUUACUACAAUAAUUACACUUAAACAUAGGCAUCGUGAGAAAAAUGAAAAUUAUGUUCAGAUGGGGACAUGGAAGAAUGAGAAGACUGAACCAAAUCAAUACCUGUUGACUUUUAAGAAACAGAGAAAACAAUUAAGAGCACAAGAAAGGAAAUCUCUGGGACACCUGAGGAGACAUUUCAGAGGAGAAAGAGAAUCAAUUUCCAAGUAAUUUGGAAUGGAAGCAAGUCUGGCCGCAUUCUUUAUCUGGGAGCUCCUCUAAAAUCCUCCCACCACCACCAGGGUUUGAUGGUUAGGAGACUUAGCAACAGAAAGAGUAAAAAGAGAAAAUAAGCAGCGAAGCCUGUGCUUCCAUCUCCC
Molecule: long non-coding RNA, 553 nt
Filed under: Homo sapiens (human)
Lineage: Eukaryota; Metazoa; Chordata; Mammalia; Primates; Hominidae
Description: non-protein coding lnc-SUCLG2-1:1
Source: RNAcentral